RNAcentral lists this long non-coding RNA (203 nucleotides) under Lathyrus oleraceus (garden pea). RNAcentral's name for it is "Pisum sativum (pea) long non-coding RNA (PSAT_LNC010600)". The record is from RNAcentral. Lineage: Eukaryota; Viridiplantae; Streptophyta; Magnoliopsida; Fabales; Fabaceae.
UAUUUCUGUGUUGCUUGAUUCUAAAUGUCCAAGGGAAUCCUGGGUUUCUAUUGACAUUUUUGUCUAUUGGAUUGCUACCCAUUUGGUCAGAUCUUUUCAACUCUCAACUUUUAAUUUUGUGCAUAGGAUUAGUCUCUUCAUCUUCUCCCCAUUUUUUAAUUUCAAAUCUCUCCCUCCCUUUUCAAAAUCUUCUUUGGUUGAAC